UAACCACGUACGCUGUAACUAACUCUUCUCCCGAGGAUCGUUGAAUUCUGAUGCACCGAAUAAUUAUUCGGUUAAUCGGUAUUAUCAUCGAACUGUUUAUCCGUUUGCGCGAUACGGUCAACCGACUAGGGAACUGUCAAAGGUUAUUUAACGCUAGACAUUGUUCACGGAGUGAUGAGUUACUAUUUAGUUCAUCUGUCGAUACACGGUGCAUUCGCAAGAUACGAAACCGAGUGUAAAGGGAAUUAAUAACGGCACGGAAUAUUUGAAUAUUAUAAGGAACGGGGCGUUAAGUUUAAUCAUUUUUCUUUCUUCGUCAACGAAUCAGAAGUCAAAAGGUAUAAAUCUCACGAAAUCGUGCUCGCGACACGAAAGGAGAGUUUACUUUGGCCAAAUGAGCGUAGCAGGGCCAAUAAAUCAUUGUGAUUCGUAUAAAUCACGUAUUAUUUCACCGUUAUAGCCCUCGGUUAUGGAGGAAAGAUAUAUAUAUAUACAUGUGCUCUAACUCGCCGCAAAACCUGGCCUGUGUGCUACAUGGUCAGCCACUGACGUGCGUUUCAACGACGAGAGAGAUGAUCGCGCAAAGCACCCGAUCAGAUAUGGGCUCGCACAUGCGUGCACACGGCGGUUUACCACAGCGGUUGCAACGAGCGCUGUGGAAAGAGGCAGAAGCCACGGUGCACCCCCUUGACGCGUCUGCUUCUCUGCUACCCCGAAUUCCACGAAUUGGCCCCCAUCACUCCGCAGAGAUUUCGCUAUUAGCCAUGGUUUGCUCGGUAACGCGUAACUGGCCGCAACGAUGUUGACCUUUGUUCGCCCGUUUGAUUACGCCAGUUUCGUUACGAGCCAAUUUCGAGAGCUCGAAGAGGAAGAAAAAUGGACUCUUGUCUCUCUUAACGCGGUUAGAAUUUAGUUUUUCAAAAGCGACUUUUUAGAAAUAAUUGUUGAGAUUGAAUUUGCCUCGAGGCAAAGGAUUUAGGAUUUACAGGCUUCGUUCUUGAUCUUCUCCCUCUUUCUUUCUUUAAAGACACUUUCGAUUUUUCAACAACAAAUUUAUUACAAAUCUUCUUGUUGUUCUUCUGUCCACUCGUUUACAAGGCAGCGAUAAUUUUUCAGCACGAGGCUGGAGAUAGACGAUCAAUUACUUAGAAAAUUUAUUCGAUCGCCGAGUAGAUUAAACGAGCGCAUUCCCGGGGAAAAAUAGGCGUUCAAAAGGGAGGAGAAACGAAAGAAGUCAACGUAAGAAGAAGAAGAAGGAGGAGGAGGAGGAGGAGGAGAAAGGUAUUCAUUAUCCUUUUUUUCGUUCUUUUCACUGUCCCCCUCGCGAGAGAGCCGAGGAAGUUCGAUUCGAGGACUUAAUUGAGCGAAGUUAAUUUCACGAAAGUUGGUCCACUGCUUAGACAACGUUCUCGAGGAACGUAAAAGCGAACAUGGUCGACGAUCGUUUUCCGGCAUGGAGGACAACUCUGCUGGAAAUCUUGGCCGGGCGCAUUAAUGAAAUUCGGGUCACGGGUCGAUUAGCUUGCGCGAAACCAUCGUGGCGUCGAUUAAUUUUCACCCCAAUGGAGAGGAGCUUCUUCGCUGGUUUAAAACUUAAGCUUGUCCUUUCCAUUGAACCGAUUAACCGGCAACCAACCUGAACUUUCAAUGUUUCUGGAUAACACGUGAAUACACGAAGAUAGUUUGGCAAUUACGAAGAUUUGGAAUAUUAAGGAUCUAUAUGUGAAUCUCGAACACGUAUGAAUAGAAAGAAAAAUUUGAUUCUUUUCAGAAAACGAAUAAUUAGUCAAUUGAAAUUAGCGAUCUUUCUGUGUUGUUUUUCAUAUCUUGUUUUAUAACAAAUUUAUAUAUUUUGUAUUAUCUAAUAAUAGAAGUUUAACAAUCGUUAGGUGAACGUAAUAGUUUAAGAAAUGUGAUGACGAAUUGUUGAAAGAAAAACUUUUUAAAUUCUCAAGGGAAUUCUCGAUUCCGUAUUCGAGACACUUACCCUUUAUUUAUUACCUUAAAUCUCGUUCGCUAACAAAAUAAAAUAGUAUGUGUCCUGGAUAAUCAGAAAAGAAAUCCUCCUACCUUAAGCUGGGAAAACAAAAUGUUGGACGUGCCGCGCUACACGCGUCUGAACUUAGAAAGCCUUGCUGCGGUUGUUCUUCAUGUCAAGAAAAUAGGUCUCUGCCUCUGUUGUUCAAGAAGAAGGGAGUUUCCUUUCUGAAAGCAGCUACGAAAAGUUGUAUUCGCGAAGAAUGCACCGUUUCUUUUAAAACGAUCCAGAAGAAAUUAGAAUUAAAAAAAAAAAACCUUAAUUAGGAUUUCUCGUUCCCCUAACAAAUAAGAAUUCUAAAAAGAUUAGAGACAAUUACGUAAAUUCUUUUCUUCGAUUCUAUUUCCUCUAUUGAAUCAUUCGCAACUCUUCUUCCUUUUAUUCUCCUAAACUAAUCGCAUUUCUAGAUAAAUCAAUACGAAAAUUAAAACGUCCUAUGUUGCUUAUAAUUUAAAAAAAAAAGAAAAUAGAAUCUAGAAUUCUAUUACAGCAAAACAUCAACGUAAUUACAUUACACAGCAUUACAGUUAAUUCGAUCCUUAAACAUUGCACAAUCCAUUCUCGACCAGUCACGUGCACAUCGUAACACGUCAUGUUUGCCGGCUUCCCUCCCACGAAGGGUGGAGGCGUUGGUCAUUAUCAGAGGAUAUAAAAACCGCGUGGUAAUGGAACGUAGCGUGCCUCGAUCGCCAAAGAUCGCACAAUGUACCACGUUUGUGUAGCAGCAGUAGUUUAGAUUGGCCGGGUUGUGUGUACACAGGUACCGGUAUUGUGCCAGGUCAUACGGUUGGAUACAGGGUGUUGGAUAACGGUUGCGUGGCAAAGCAACGUGGAUACCACGUUGCUCUUGGUCGUGUCGUGUGUCAUCGACGAAGGAAGCCCACUGUUUACAAAAGCUUGCGACACACCGCCGUGUUCGAUGGCUGGGAGCUUGAACGGUUUCUAGAUUAUUCUAUUAAGGCGAUCGAUCAUCGGCCGAGGGUUGAGCCACCAUCUUUAAAUGGUGGCGGACUUGUCCCUUCGCUUUCGCGCGGCCGUUGUCAAUAAACUUAUACAUCGCGGAGUGGAAGAUAGAUUCGAUGGAAACUUGGCAGACAAUUACUUCGUAACAGAGUCACGCAAUGCACGCGGUUCUCCUCGACGAAGAUGGUCGUCAGUCGAGAGAAGGCGUUACCACUGUUUUGCCAUCGUAUUGACAACCCUUAGCCGGGUUUUGGGGCGGUGCCACGUGGAUUCUUGUGCGGUUGAUACCGGUGGGGUAGAAGCAGUCACAUCAAAAGGACCGAAUACUUGUUUCUCUCUCCAGCUGAGGCUUGACGCGAGCCUUCUAUUGAUGGAAUCCGCGGCAGCUGCAUCUCUAAUUUGGUGAAUGAAAACCAAGACCCCCGUCGCACAUUGUCGGGAUAACAAGAAAUCCGAAAUUUGCACAGCGGAUGCCUUUUCCCCUCUUUGGGUUAUUCCUCUUUGAUCCCUGCGACGGGAUAACUUUUUUUUUUUUUUUUUUGAAAAGGUCGCGUCCAGAGAACGUCCAGAUCGAAUUGAUUAGAGCAUUACGAGGGAUCGUCGCUGGAAUUUGAUGAGAAUACGAUGAUUUUAUCGUUACGUCUCGUGAAUCUUUCAAUUCCUAAAGUAUUCUUCUUAUUUGAUCAUCGAACAAUGUUUUGUGAUUUGUUUCUCUGCUAUGAAAUGGAAUUUUUAAAAAUGACCGUGUAUGGAUUUUACUGUAAGUAAAAGAAAUGAAAAUGGAGCUUGUAGAUUUACGAUAACAAAAAUGUAGGUUAAUAGCUGCUACGUGUUUCUAAUUACAUACGUGGAAUCAAAUAUAAUAUAUUCUGUAUUCUAAUACAGCUGCGAGAAAGAUUUAGUUUUCUAGAAAAAGAAAUUUCAUUCAAAGAAAAUUGGAAAUCUUCGUAUUAUCGAAUUGCGUGUAACAAAGAUCAAAUUGGCGCAAAGAUCGAUCGAUUCGAAUGAUAUUUAAUUCUGUUUGUACCAAGAAAGAGUUAUACGUAAUAUUUUUAUUCCCUUUCUCAUCCCAUAUUUCCGUGGCCAACAUAUGAGUCGCGUUACGAACAAAAAUAAAUCCAAUCCCUUCCGUUAACCAUUCCGUUUCGGUAUUGCAUUUGAAAAUUUAUGAUCGCCGAUCGAAGACCCAACCAACGGGCAUCGGUACGUCAUAAAAUUUUACAUAAAACGAACGUUCGAUUAUCAACGGGGGAACGAGACGGGCGUUUAUCUGGUUGUUCGUACCGAUCCUCGACAAAACGUCACGAGAUAGUUAAAAAUCGGAUCCAGUAUCAUUUUCUUUUAUUGUAAAACACGAUGCGCAAUCGGUCAUACGUGGAAUUUUUGUUAUUGACGAUAACAGGAACAAUAAACUCGUUUACUCGAUAAAUUGCAGAGAAGGAAGAAGGAAAGAAAAUACUUAGGAUUGAAAACAAAGGAUUAAACGUAAAAAAUUAUUAAAUGAAUUCUUUAUUUCCGAGAUGUAUCCAUAUACUCGAAUCGGGGGAGAAAACCAUGAAGACUACGCGUAAUGAGUAUAAAAAGGAAGAGAAACGUUUCUCUGAAGCAGAAUUCCAGUUACUGCAUCCGCUGAAAAUAGAACGUAACAUACGUAUUCCAUAAAAGAAGGAAUUGCCGUACGAACGAUCCUCCUUCGUCAACGCCAUUUUGUCGAGGAAUGUUUCCCCGAAACUCGGAACGUCCCAAAGGAUUCGAAUCGCAAAGAAAGCCUUCCGUUUCUCUUCUGGAUUUUUCGAUAAAGCUCCCAAAACGACUGGCUAUUUGGUAGAAAACGAAUCGCGCGAGAGAAUCGGCAAAGGGAACACUCAUCUCUUCCCCAUUCUUAUUUUUCUUCUUUUUUAUUUUUUAUUUUUUUUUUUUUUUUUUAGAAGGAGAACCUCUUCCGAUAGAUGCGUAUUCUUUGGAUUAUACGUUUCGAGUGGAGUGUUUGAGCAUGGAAACAGGGGUGAGAAUGGAGAAUUUGUUCGAUGGGGGUGGAAGAAGAAGGAGGAUUCUGGAUGAUUGAUGGCGCGAGAUAUCAUCGUAUCACGUGCCAUUAUGUUUGCAUUACUGCGCCAAUUACACGUGCAUUUUCCACGCCAGAUUCCUGAGAUCUAAGCACGUGAAGAUAAUGCAACGUUGAAUUCUAGUUUAAUAGACUCCAGUUGUCUGAAAAGAACGUUUAUUGACUGUCUAUAAAUUAUAUUUUAGGAAGACGGUGUUUCGCGUGACUUGGUAAUGUUCGAGGCAGCGACAGACACGAAAUAUUAUAAAUAGAUUUCGAGAUUGAGAGACCAUAUUUGAACUGUCUCUCUUUUAAAUCCAGAAACACGUUUAAUAUAAAUACCAAAAAAAGAAAAAAGAAACUCGGACAGAAGAGAACGAUUGAGUCUUCGAGAAUUUGAAUCUCUCUCUUUCGCAAGCUUGCAAUUUCCAUUUCAUUAUCAGACCGAAAUCAUCGCUAGAAAAAAAAAAGGAUCACAGCAAAUAUCCUGCGUCCAUUCCAGAUGGAGAUACGUGAGCUUACAUAAAUGUAUGAGCUGGAUAGGGAAAUAUUCCGCGACGAGGCAGAAAUUUCCAUCGAUUCGUCGAAUAGACGAUUCCGUGCGAUCUUUCUUCUGCCCUCGAUAUCUUUGACAGUUCGGACAAGCUGCGCGAGCCGAAGGAGGCAAGGUGACGCGAAAUUUCCUCCAUGGAAAUCAACUUUGCCGUGGCAGGUGCGCGUGGGACCGUGUGUAUAUGUGUGUGCGCUCUCUUUGUGCGACGGUGCACGACCACCGAAACCUCUCGAAACGAGCAUUCGCCACGAACGUGUGUGAACACGGCACGAUAGAAAACAAUUGUCGAAAGACGUUCGAUUCCUCGAAUAAAAGAUCGUCUCCUGAAUUUUGUCUCCUGUCUACUUCGAAUUUUCUUUUUUUUUUUUUUUUUCUCUUCUAUCGAGCGUAUAAACAGCGUCAAGUCGACGAAAGUUAUUUAAUUUUUGCGAAGAAAGAAAAUUUAAAUUUUGAUGUUGGUUUCUUUUAGAUUAUUCGUCGAAGGUAUUUUUUUUUCUUUUCGUAGGUAUAAAGCAAAAUGUAGACAGAUAUUAAAAAAAAGUGACAGUAAAAAUAAUUAUCUCCUUUUCUUUUUCAGAUAAUAUGUAUCCUUUAAUUUGAUUAAUCUGUUUUAAUCGAAACUGUGGGAAGGAGGAAGAGAAUAUCGAUAGUAAAAGCGAAACGUAAAGGUUUGGGAUGAAUGGGUUUUGUUAGGUGCGCCAAUAUGGUUGUUCAAUUGAUUUUGCGGCUUCGCUAAAUUGGCCAAUCAACUGAUUUCUCAGUUAAUUCUGGACUGUACAGGUAACGAACCGACACGCAGGUAGGCCGAUGUUUAACACAUAAAUUACUUCAUAGUGUGCACCUGCUUACCUUCGUUAUAUCGAAUCAAAUGAAAUAUAUAUCUCCUGUUUUAGCUUUCUAUACCAUAAUCCUGUUAAUAAUUUCGAGAAUUUUUACAAAUUGAAAAUUAUAAAUCAAUGCAUUAAUAUCGAAUCAACAAAAUUACUUCAAACGACAAUUCCACUUUCUAAAAACCAUUCAUCGGAUCAUUGGAAAAUAUUUCGUCAAAAUUAUUCACCACAAAUCAAAUAUAUCCAACCUAUCCUUUAUAUAUCCGAUCCCAUCCUUUACCCAUCCCCUCAUCUUAAAACCACACGACCCGAAUUUCUCUUCUUAAACAAAUUUCACUCAAUAAAGAUCCCCACCAUCGCCCAAUAUCCUGAAUAAUAAAUCAACGAGUUAAUAUCGAGCACAAAAUCGUUCCUAAUUCCCCUUCCUAAGAAUAGAGAUAUAAUCAAACGGAUCAGAUCAUUCGAAUUAUUUCGUCGAAAUUAUUCACCACGAAUCAACGAUCGAUACCCAAUCUUAUCCAACCCCAUCCUCACCCAUCCCCUCCCUCCCUCCACCUUAAAAUCACCGCCCGAAUAAUAAUUAAACCCGUAGUCAACGUACUUGGCCAGUUUACGACGCACUAAUUCACCUGGCGGUUCGAUCGGCAAAUAAAUCGCUCGGCUCGUUAGGAUCACCUGAUACCCACCCCGUUUAAUACCGCUCUUUACAGCCUCUGCUCCGCUAACGAAUAUCUCCGGCGCAGUCUAUCCGCUCCUCUCUCGCGUGCACACGCGUGUUCCCUACCAAAUAUACCGGUGUGCGAGUCAAGUGACACACACACAACGGGAAGGGGUACACAGCGCAACAGAAAAUCCGCUUACGGAAAUGAGGGGUUAGUUUCGAACGUUUCGGCGUGGACGAUCGUCCCCGUUCUAAUUUGGUACACUCGCCUGGUAUUACGGGGGGAGGGAGGGGGUGGAGGAAACGGUACGUAAACCCGUUAUACCUGGUGCACCAGCUGGCGCAUGGAAAAGUAAAUAGAUAGACAGUGCGGCGUAAAAUUUGACUAAAUUGGAAACUUUUCGCCGGCGGCCAGCUGCCACUGGCACGAAUUGCGAUCUCUACAACACAAUCCGGGGAAUCCUCGAUCACGAUGGCCAACUAUUAAUUAUGAAUUCAACACGGUUGUAGCAGAGAUUGCGCGAUCCCGAUUAAUUGUAAUUGUAAAUUUUGCAACAAAUUGGGGAGAAAUCGAUUGGUUAUUGAUUUUCGAGGUUACGUUCACGUUGUAGCUGGUUGGAAAGUGAAAUUUCCAGAGGGGAUUGUAUAAAAAUACGAAGCACGCGUGUCUAUACAUAUUUCUCCGUAUAUAGAAUCCUCGAUUAAACAAAAUCCUACUUGUUCUUCGAUGCAGAAGAGAAAAUGGAGCUUGUUCGGAAAGUAAAUUCCAUCUCCCUUCUCCGCACGAAAAUUCUUACGAGAGCGAAACGGAUAAAUACAUAAUAGACAUCGAUCUCGCAAAUUUCAUUGGAUAGAAUUAUUCUAUUGGCCGUGAUACUUGUCGCGUCAAUCACCUCUCACGCAAAGCGACGUUGUGAAAUCGGCGUUAUGCAUGCGCCGCUCGUUUUUUGUGUUAUUCAACCCUCCCUCCCUCCUUGUAAAAUCGACUGACGUCCAUAGAAAGAUCCAUAGAAAAAAAGCUGCGAUCGAAAAUUCCACUCGCGACCCGACUGUCCACGGUUUUUCAAUCGUCGCGCGGAUAAAGAACGGGCAAAAGAGAGAGAGAGAGAAAGGGAGGGAGAGAGGGGAAAAAAGAAGAGAGGCGGUUGGAAAUGUCAUAAUUGGAUAAUCGUCGACGUAGGGAAGCGUGUAUCACGAUGGCGCUUGGGAAAUCACCGUUUCACGACACAUGCGACCCGCAAAACGAACGGAACACGCACUAGUCGAGCUUGUUCCGGGACAAGCACGGGUUGCUCCGCGUUUUACGAGCGAACGAGAAACGCAUGGAAGGGCCGGGAUUCCUGAACACGGAACCAGCAAAGACCAUUCAAUCGUUGCCAAUAGAACGUUAAUCCGGGACGUUCGCUUGUCACUGACAAUUUACUAUGUUUCACCUUCGGGCCACGCGGAUCAACCGAACUGGAUCCAAUCCUUGAAGGAACUUGGUUUGGAAACGAAGGGAUUCAUCAUAAAUGGACGAUUUUCUUGAAGGAAUUUUUGAAAAGGAUUUCCAUUGACUUCCAAUCAGAUUUUCUUCGUUUUAAUUCUAAUCUAUCUUUUGACAAACUUGCGUGACAAGGUGAAAAGAUAAUACAAGAAGGGAAAAAUAAGCCAUGGAAUGUCAACUGCCAAUGGCCAUAUCGAACGUGGCCCAGUAUCGCCGAAGGAAAACCCGUGGGAACGAUGGAUUAUAUUCCACUACCGAUCCAGGAUGGACACGCAUUAUUAGUUGGAACAAGAAAAGAAGCCCGCAAAAAGAUCCACGAUACUCGAGUAAUCACCAAGGAUCGAUUUGUAGAGAAAAUGACCACCAUAAAUCGGGAUAAAGAUACCAUUCAUUGCAAAUCGAGGUAAACACCGUUCCUCCAUUGUACACCGGCUCAGACGUGCCCUUCCGGGGAAACUCUGUAGAUGUCGCUCGAGCAGUCGAGGACAAUAACGCGGACAGAUAGAGGUGGUGACGUCCCCCAGGAAUGCGAUUGAACUGGGAAGAGGAGGUUUGUCCACAGAUUAAUUUUGGAAAGAUUGGAUUCUUUCCGGAUCGAAGGGAGGAGAGAUUGAACUUUCGUUCGAAUUGGAUGUCAGUGAGAGAAGCUUUGGAAUAAAAAGAAAAAUAACAGCGAUGAAUAAGUGGCGAUGAGAAAAUACAAAAUGGUAGAUAUUGUGCGUGAGGGAUCGGAGCCAGAAAUGUUAAAAUCGAUCGGGAAAACUCGGACUUUUAUCCGAAAUGGAUACUCGAGAGUUGAGACGAUGAGAAAUAUCGCAGGCGCGCAGUGUGUGCUCCGCGUACAGUUCAUCAGGGCAUGGUGCCGUGGCAUUAGCAUAUAUUUCACCUACGGGCUAUGACGGUCCGCUGCGGCAGCCGUACUAACUCGACUUUGUCGUCCACCAGCCAGAAGUUACGCUGAUAACUUUCGACCAACGGGUAACGAGUUGAACUGGAAACCUCGAAAAAGGCAGGGAAGUGGCUUCGUUAUCUACCAAACACACGCUCUCCCCAACAGAUUCUCUCUCUCUCUGAAAAUGAUUUAUCCACUAAAUUAUUAUUAUUAUUAUUAUUCGAACAGAGUCAUCGAAGGAUCGAGCCACGCUCGUUUCAUCACGUUGCUCGAACUUUGCUCUCGAUGGUCUGACCUGUUUAACUUGUGUCUAAUUUUAUAACAAGUUUCCAACUUGGAGAGAGGGGAGAGCGAAUGUUUCUCGUAGGAAUUUUAAAUUCGAAUGAAAAAGUCAGAUUAAAUUAUUUAAUCGGAAUAAGUAGAUCAUUUGCCAGUUGUUCGACAUACACUUGGUUCCUUUUCCGCGCCUAUCUCACCCCGAGAUAAAAGUUUUUACCGUGCAAUUCUGUAUAGAGUUAAUUCCUCUUCGAGAUAAUUGCGCGUAAACUCGAAUUAUUCCACACAAUAAUUUUUUUCAAUUUUUCUCGUAAUAAUCUCCACUCAUUGAUAUCGCCUAACGCCACCCAUAAAAUAUUCUUUCUGCAACUUUUCUUUUUCCCCAUAGGGAUCCCCUCUUAAUUAGAAGCGGGCUCAAUUUUUAAGACAAUUUUUAAUUGGACGACGCGGCUCGUUGGAGGAUCGUUGGACGAAUAAUACCAUUCGAACGAAUUGAAGAUAAACACAGCCGUUGUUCCGGUUGUUCCCGUCGGAAGGGCGUUUUCCUAGGGCGCAGCCUGCCGCUAAUUGCUCAACCACCUGCCGUUAUUUAAAUUUACUCACGGAUCCCGUUUCGCCUCGCACGGACGCGUAAUUUAAGAAUUUGUUACACGUUUCCACAACGGAUGCAAUGUCUUGUCUUCGAAGAUGAAACGUCUUGCAUCUUUCCCUUCCUUUCUUCCAUUUCUUCAUGAUCGAUUCUCUCAUUUGUUUACAGCAAUUUCUCGUGAGGAUAUAAAAAAUUUCAAUCGUCUUAUCGCGUCGUUUGUCAAUUUUUACCCUUUUAUCAAUGUGGUUUCGUUAUGUAGAUGGUUUUUUUUAAUUAGAUUCGAAGAAGAAAUUUUAAUUGUAUAUUUGGAAUUGGAAUUUAAUGUUAUUUACUCGUAUAUAUUGUA
Molecule: long non-coding RNA, 10678 nt
Organism: Apis cerana (Asiatic honeybee)
Lineage: Eukaryota; Metazoa; Arthropoda; Insecta; Hymenoptera; Apidae
Source: RefSeq, a predicted model, not a curated record